RNAcentral lists this ribosomal RNA (201 nucleotides) under uncultured prokaryote. RNAcentral describes it as "partial 16S ribosomal RNA". It matches the Rfam family "Bacterial small subunit ribosomal RNA", at positions 524 to 724 of the family's 1533-position model. The record is from RNAcentral.
UACGUAGGUGGCAAGCGUUGUCCGGAUUUAUUGGGUUUAAAGGGCGCGUAGGCGGUGCGGUAAGUCUGUAGUGAAAUCUCUGGGCUCAACUCAGAGUCUGCUAUAGAAACUGCCGUGCUUGAGUGUGGGAGAGGCGCGUGGAAUUGCAGGUGUAGCGGUGAAAUGCGUAGAUAUCUGCAGGAACACCCGUGGCGAAAGCGG